AGGAAAGCCCCCUCUCUCGUCCUCAAGCUGGAUUUCGCUAAAGCUUUUGACUCGGUUAACUGGGCGUGCCUUCGUCGAGUCAUGGAGGUGCGCGGCUUCCCUGUGAAGUGGUGCGCGUGGGUGGAUGCUAUCCUCCGUUCAUCACGCUCCGCUGUGCUGCUCAACGGAGAGCCGGGGGCGUGGUUCCCGGUCAGGUGUGGGCUUCACCAAGGAGACCCGAUGUCGCCCUACCUCUACCUCUUGGUGGCGGACGUCCUGCAACGGAUGGUGCGGCGCGACCCCCUACUCAAACACCCGGUGGUGGACGGUGAACCUCCGAUCGUGCUCCAAUACACCGACGACACCCUUAUCAUCAUCCGUGCGUCUGUGAAGGCGGCGGCGCGGCUACGGCACAUCUUGGACGACUUCGCCGCGGCCACUGGGCUGGGCAUCAACUACGGCAAGAGCACCUUGGUGCCGAUUCACAUUGCGGAUGAGGUGGUGGCUGGGGCGCGGGGGGCCCUCUCCUGCUCUGUAUAG
Molecule: ribosomal RNA, 519 nt
Filed under: Triticum aestivum (bread wheat)
Lineage: Eukaryota; Viridiplantae; Streptophyta; Magnoliopsida; Poales; Poaceae
Description: partial small subunit ribosomal RNA
Source: RNAcentral